GAUGAACGCUGGCGGCGUGCCUAAUACAUGCAAGUCGAACGCUGAAGGAGGAGCUUGCUCUUCUGGAUGAGUUGCGAACGGGUGAGUAACGCGUAGGUAACCUGCCUGGUAGCGGGGGAUAACUCUUGGAAACGCUAGCUAAUACCGCAUGACAACAGUUAUUGCAUGAUAACUGUUUAAAAGGGGCAACUGCUCCACUACCAGAUGGACGUGCGUUGUAUUAGCUAGUUGGUGAGGUAACGGCUCACCAAGGCGACGAUACAUAGCCGACCUGGGAAGGGGGUCGGCCACACUUGGACUGAGGCACGGCCCAGACCUCUACGGGAGGCAGCAGGAGGGAAUCUUCGGGAAUUGACGGAAGGCUUACCGGGCCACGCCGCGUGAGGUAAUAAGGUUUUCGGAUCGUAAAGCUUUGUUGUAAGGGAAGAACGAAUUUUGGAGUUGAAAAUUCACGCUUUGACGGUAGCUUACCAGAAAGGGACGGCUAACUACGUG
Molecule: ribosomal RNA, 495 nt
Filed under: uncultured bacterium
Lineage: Bacteria
Description: partial 16S ribosomal RNA
Rfam family: Bacterial small subunit ribosomal RNA
Source: RNAcentral